Molecule: long non-coding RNA, 847 nt
Organism: Bos taurus (domestic cattle)
Lineage: Eukaryota; Metazoa; Chordata; Mammalia; Artiodactyla; Bovidae
Source: Ensembl
UCAGGGGCUUGUCCCCUUGGUGAGAUCACCAGGCAGUGGCAUCUCAGACAUCCGCUUGGAGCUAAAUACAGGCUACUGCACUUUGCACCUCCUAUCAUGAUGAAAGGAAGAGAAAACUUGGGUUUUGGAGGCGGCACACUCCAUACCUGGGGACCCUGAAGAGACACAUACGCCAGGUAACAUACUAGAGAUACUCUUCUGCAGUUUGCCUUCUUUCCUAAAGAAAUACAGCGAAACAUCCUGGACAGCAUGCUGAACCAGUUCAUAGAGCUCUUCCUCAUUCUUUCUUGCUGCUGUUGGUGACCCCAUUGUGGGUGUUAGAGUUUAUGCAAUGAUCCUGCUGCAUGGGCAGUUAGGGUCACUCCAAUAUUUUGCAUUUACUGCUGAAGCUUCAGGCUAAAACGAUGGAUGGCUGGAGAGAGGAGCCAACAGAGGAGGUUGGACAGGUUCAACAGGAGGAACGAGAGGCAGCAGCAGAGUUUAAGAAAAGCCAUCUUUUACUGCACAAGCAAGGAUCCAAAAGAAGAAAUGGCACAGGGGGAGAUACGGCUAAUAAAGCAGAUUUGGACUUUCUUACUACUUGGGGGCAAGGACCCCCUGGUCUCUAACUCCCAUGGUAACAUGACAUAGUAGGAAGGACAGUAACAUAUGCAGCUCUUGAUUUUGAAGAUGACUGUAUGUGGUCGGGCUCCACCCUGCGUUACACAAAAGAAAUACAAAGACAAACGGAGCCUUCUGCUUGGACUUCCGGUGCGGACCUGACAGCCCCCACGUGUGAGGCGCCCGUCGGCCAGGACCCGCAGAGUCACCUGCAGCAGGGACUCUCCCCGCCGAGCCCCACCAGACA